Carassius auratus (goldfish) is the source of this 1205-nucleotide long non-coding RNA. RefSeq lists it as uncharacterized. NCBI's taxonomy places the organism in Eukaryota, Metazoa, Chordata, Actinopteri, Cypriniformes, Cyprinidae. The transcript has 4 exons. The record is from RefSeq and is a predicted model, not a curated record.
GGGACGUUGUCUCCCUCUAGUGGUGACACGGGGCUCAGGCUCCACCCUCCUCUGCACAGCCUCCUCCGGCUGUGUAACGAAACUCCUGCAGGUUGGACACACCGUGGAAGUGCACAAAAGCACCUGCUACCACCAGGAUAUGGAACAGCUGAUGAGAGUGGAACUGCAAAAUAAUGACAAGGACAUCGACUCACCCAGAUGUCACAUUUGCCAGGGAAGAAUCUCUCUGGGAUGCGUGCAGCGUACAGGCAGGCUCCGGUGAUGUACAGGACGGCCAUGAGGAACAGCCAGCCCAUCUGACCCAUGGUGGUGGCCCUCAGGAAGCCCUCAGUGAUCAUAAAGUGCAGCGUGGGGACGACCCCACUGAGGCCCAGACCCACAAACACACCUGAGACAAAGAAGACAGGACAGAGUGAGACAGUGUCUUACCAGCCCUGACUCCACGGUACUGUGGUGUGGCGAAGAAAUCACACUGUGAGACUGUGAUGGCAGCGACCCCCAGGAUACACACCACUAUCAGUGAGUGUUGCAGGUGCUUACUUUGAGAAGACACGGGACACCCCCUCUGAGUGGCAGUAGACUGUGUGAAAGAGCCAGGAGAAGGACAGGCAGAGAAUGGCUCCCAGGAAGAAUGCACCGAUGACAAUCUUCUCCUGGAACGGGGCCACAAACGACAUAUUGGGCCUGAACAUGUACACAAUGCCCAGACAGAGAAAGAACAGGCAGCCUGUAGACACAAGGGAAAUGCUGGUUACAUGUAUGUGUGUGUUAAGAGUUCAAUCUCAAAACUCCUAUAAAUGCUAAUAGUCAUUCAGUCAGUUGUACAUAGGCCCUUGCUCUCUAUAGGUCAAGGCAAUAAAUCAAUAAAUGUACAAAGUGUAAAAUCGAAAUCAAACUGAACUCAAGUAAGCUUAGCAGUUUCUAGUAGAUCAACAUCAAACAUCUGUUUUGUCCAUUAUGGGCUCAGUCACAACACGAGUCCAAAGGUGUAGAAGAUCAAUAGCUGCACAUUACGAUCUCAUCUCACAAUCAAUACCAUUACCUAGACCCACAGUCUAUUGUUUAGCAUGACUUUGUACAGAUAUAUAAUACCUCUUAUACCUUACAGCCUCUGCAUUCAAUGUUAUGUGAAGAAUGACUACAUUUCUCCACUAGGUGGCAGUACAGCAUGCAGAAAAUAAAGUUUUUGAUGUAGUUUCCAUUUC